GGUGAAAAGCACCCCGGAAGGGGAGUGAAAUAGAACCUGAAACCGUGUGCUUACAAGUAGUCAGAGCCCGUUAAUGGGUGAUGGCGUGCCUUUUGUAGAAUGAACCGGCGAGUUACGAUUUGAUGCAAGGUUAAGCAGUAAAUGUGGAGCCGUAGCGAAAGCGAGUCUGAAUAGGGCGUUUAGUAUUUGGUCGUAGACCCGAAACCAGGUGAUCUACCCUUGGUCAGGUUGAAGUUCAGGUAACACUGAAUGGAGGACCGAACCGACUUACGUUGAAAAGUGAGCGGAUGAACUGAGGGUAGCGGAGAAAUUCCAAUCGAACCUGGAGAUAGCUGGUUCUCUCCGAAAUAGCUUUAGGGCUAGCCUCAAGUGAUGAUUAUUGGAGGUAGAGCACUGUUUGGACGAGGGGCCCCUCUCGGGUUACCGAAUUCAGACAAACUCCGAAUGCCAAUUAAUUUAACUUGGGAGUCAGAACAUGGGUGAUAAGGUCCGUGUUCGAAAGGGAAACAGCCCAGACCACCAGCUAAGGUCCCAAAAUAUAUGUUAAGUGGAAAAGGAUGUGGCGUUGCCCAGACAACUAGGAUGUUGGCUUAGAAGCAGCCAUCAUUUAAAGAGUGCGUAAUAGCUCACUAGUCGAGUGACACUGCGCCGAAAAUGUACCGGGGCUAAACAUAUUACCGAAGCUGUGGAUUGUCCUUUGGACAAUGGUAGGAGAGCGUUCUAAGGGCGUUGAAGCAUGAUCGUAAGGACAUGUGGAGCGCUUAGAAGUGAGAAUGCCGGUGUGAGUAGCGAAAGACGGGUGAGAAUCCCGUCCACCGAUUGACUAAGGUUUCCAGAGGAAGGCUCGUCCGCUCUGGGUUAGUCGGGUCCUAAGCUGAGGCCGACAGGCGUAGGCGAUGGAUAACAGGUUGAUAUUCCUGUACCACCUAUAAUCGUUUUAAUCGAUGGGGGGACGCAGUAGGAUAGGCGAAGCGUGCGAUUGGAUUGCACGUCUAAGCAGUAAGGCUGAGUAUUAGGCAAAUCCGGUACUCAUUAAGGCUGAGCUGUGAUGGGGAGAAGACAUUGUGUCUUCGAGUCGUUGAUUUCACACUGCCGAGAAAAGCCUCUAGAUAGAAAAUAGGUGCCCGUACCGCAAACCGACACAGGUAGUCAAGAUGAGAAUUCUAAGGUGAGCGAGCGAACUCUCGUUAAGGAACUCGGCAAAAUGACCCCGUAACUUCGGGAGAAGGGGUGCUCUUUAGGGUUAACGCCCAGAAGAGCCGCAGUGAAUAGGCCCAAGCGACUGUUUAUCAAAAACACAGGUCUCUGCUAAACCGUAAGGUGAUGUAUAGGGGCUGACGCCUGCCCGGUGCUGGAAGGUUAAGAGGAGUGGUUAGCUUCUGCGAAGCUACGAAUCGAAGCCCCAGUAAACGGCGGCCGUAACUAUAACGGUCCUAAGGUAGCGAAAUUCCUUGUCGGGUAAGUUCCGACCCGCACGAAAGGCGUAACGAUUUGGGCACUGUCUCAACGAGAGACUCGGUGAAAUCAUAGUACCUGUGAAGAUGCAGGUUACCCGCGACAGGACGGAAAGACCCCGUGGAGCUUUACUGUAGCCUGAUAUUGAAAUUCGGCACAGCUUGUACAGGAUAGGUAGGAGCCUUUGAAACGUGAGCGCUAGCUUACGUGGAGGCGCUGGUGGGAUACUACCCUAGCUGUGUUGGCUUUCUAACCCGCACCACUUAUCGUGGUGGGAGACAGUGUCAGGCGGGCAGUUUGACUGGGGCGGUCGCCUCCUAAAAGGUAACGGAGGCGCUCAAAGGUUCCCUCAGAAUGGUUGGAAAUCAUUCAUAGAGUGUAAAGGCAUAAGGGAGCUUGACUGCGAGACCUACAAGUCGAGCAGGGUCGAAAGACGGACUUAGUGAUCCGGUGGUUCCGCAUGGAAGGGCCAUCGCUCAACGGAUAAAAGCUACCCCGGGGAUAACAGGCUUAUCUCCCCCAAGAGUUCACAUCGACGGGGAGGUUUGGCACCUCGAUGUCGGCUCAUCGCAUCCUGGGGCUGUAGUCGGUCCCAAGGGUUGGGCUGUUCGCCCAUUAAAGCGGUACGCGAGCUGGGUUCAGAACGUCGUGAGACAGUUCGGUCCCUAUCCGUCGUGGGCGUAGGAAAUUUGAGAGGAGCUGUCCUUAGUACGAGAGGACCGGGAUGGACAUACCUCUGGUGUACCAGUUGUCGUGCCAAC
Molecule: ribosomal RNA, 2216 nt
Filed under: Staphylococcus aureus
Lineage: Bacteria; Bacillati; Bacillota; Bacilli; Caryophanales; Staphylococcaceae
Description: partial 23S ribosomal RNA
Rfam family: Bacterial large subunit ribosomal RNA
Source: RNAcentral